AAGUCGUAACAAGGUUUCCGUAGGUGAACCUGCGGAAGGAUCAUUAGUGAAUUAUAGCGCACCUUUUUAACAAGGGCGUGACCUCUCACUUUUCAAACUCUGUGCACUUUUUUUUGGCAAGUUUUUAUCGGGAGUUCAUUAGUAAAAUUUUGAAAUCCUAAUUAAAUUUGCGGCUCAUUUUUAAUAAACACUAAAGUCAAAGUAUGUAAAUGAAAUUUUAUAAUUAAUAAAAAACUUUCAACAACGGAUCUCUUGGCUCUC
Molecule: unclassified non-coding RNA, 261 nt
Filed under: air metagenome
Description: partial contains small subunit ribosomal RNA, internal transcribed spacer 1, and 5.8S ribosomal RNA
Rfam family: Eukaryotic small subunit ribosomal RNA (bases 1-46)
Source: RNAcentral